UAUUCAUAUAAAAAAAAGUUCAUCGUGUAAAACUUCUUCCAAAAAUAACCAGGGCAUCAAAGCUCUAUUAUUCCAGAGCUUACUAAAAAAUACGCAAUAGUAAAGUGCUCCUAGCAUAAACUAUAAUUCCAACAACUAGAAUUGGCCGUUAACACUUAACAAAUUAUUCAAAGCCAUGUUUGCAAUUCAUAUAAUAUAAGUUUAUUAUCGUAAAACUUCAUUUCAGAUAGUAAAACUUCAUUUCAGAAAUUGGCACAGUUUGAAUGGAUCGAUUAGCAAUUUUCAAUCCUAUAAAACGCUGAUCCAUAACAUGCAAUUCCAAAGUGGCCAAACCAAAUCAAGCUAACCAAACUUCAUGAAACUUUGCUAAUUUGCACC
RNAcentral lists this unclassified non-coding RNA (378 nucleotides) under Hevea brasiliensis (rubber tree). The record is from RNAcentral. Lineage: Eukaryota; Viridiplantae; Streptophyta; Magnoliopsida; Malpighiales; Euphorbiaceae.